AGCAGCCGCGGUAAUUCCAGCUCCAAUAGCGUAUAUUAAAGUUGUUGCAGUUAAAAAGCUCGUAGUUGAAUUUCGGGAUCAAUCUAUCGGUCGUGCAAUAGUACGUACUGAUUUUAUUGAUUCCUCUCUUCUGAUGAACUAUGAUGUCAUUAAUUUGGUGUCAUAGGGAAUCAGGACUGUUACUUUGAAAAAAUUAGAGUGUUUAAAGCAGGCUCACGCUUGAAUACAUUAGCAUGGAAUAACGAAAUAGGACGUUUGAUUCUAUUUUGUUGGUUUCUAGGAUCGACGUAAUGAUUAAUAGGGAUAGUUGGGGGCAUUAGUAUUCAAUUGUCAGAGGUGAAAUUCUUGGAUUUAUUGAAGACUAACUACUGCGAAAGCAUUUGCCAAGGAUGUUUUCAUUAAUCAAGAACGAAAGUUAGGGGAUCGAAGACGAUCAGAUACCGUCGUAGUCUUAACCAUAAACUAAUGCCGACUAGGGAUCGGAUGAUGUUAAUUUUUAAUUGGUACUCU
Molecule: ribosomal RNA, 510 nt
Filed under: uncultured Glomus
Lineage: Eukaryota; Fungi; Glomeromycota; Glomeromycetes; Glomerales; Glomeraceae
Description: SSU rRNA
Rfam family: Eukaryotic small subunit ribosomal RNA
Source: RNAcentral